CCAGCACCUCACAGAAGAUCCUUGCUCCCCUGAAAGAGAUCGCGCCUUACAGGGCCAUUGCUCCAGUGUCACUGGUGAAUUAGAAAAAAGCCAACUCUUCUAGACAAGGCCCAACGAGGACUGGAUUUCCAAUCCCUCAGCUGGAAAAUAAAGCAGGCCACAAUUUGCACAACUGCGUAAAUGAAGCAGUCCACAGUUUGCACACUGCGUACAGCAACACUGCUCACCCCUCAUAACUGGCCUGACCACACCCUGCCAUGCUUGGGGCUCCCACUGCACUGAUCAUCACCACCAGGUGCCUUUGCUGCCACUCCAACCUGCCUGUGAGCACUGCA
Molecule: long non-coding RNA, 335 nt
Organism: Hyaena hyaena (striped hyena)
Lineage: Eukaryota; Metazoa; Chordata; Mammalia; Carnivora; Hyaenidae
Exons: 3
Source: RefSeq, a predicted model, not a curated record